GAGAAAGUCAUAGUGGAUAUGGUGUUGGCUUGAAACCAAUUUCUGGGGGGUUCAAAUCCUUCCUUUCUUA
Molecule: transfer RNA, 70 nt
Filed under: Histiotus montanus (small big-eared brown bat)
Lineage: Eukaryota; Metazoa; Chordata; Mammalia; Chiroptera; Vespertilionidae
Description: tRNA-Ser
Rfam family: tRNA
About the family: Transfer RNA (tRNA) molecules are approximately 80 nucleotides in length. Their secondary structure includes four short double-helical elements and three loops (D, anti-codon, and T loops).
Source: RNAcentral